UUCGGCCACAUCACUUUGAAACAACGGUCCCCGCACGAACUCCGAAGUUAAGCAACGUCGAGUCAGGUCAGUAUCUUGAUGGGUGACUGCUUGGGAAUCCCAGUGGCUGCAAG
Acanthosepion pharaonis is the source of this 113-nucleotide non-coding RNA. The record is from the annotation of a GenBank genome assembly. NCBI's taxonomy places the organism in Eukaryota, Metazoa, Mollusca, Cephalopoda, Sepiida, Sepiidae.